GCCGCCGUAACUUAGCCUGGCCAGAGUGGGGGGCUCAUAAUCCCUUGGCGUGGGUUCAAAUCCCACCGGCGGCACCA
Molecule: transfer RNA, 77 nt
Filed under: Nitrososphaerota archaeon
Lineage: Archaea; Thermoproteati; Nitrososphaerota
Also listed under: 1 other name
Description: tRNA-Met
Rfam family: tRNA
About the family: Transfer RNA (tRNA) molecules are approximately 80 nucleotides in length. Their secondary structure includes four short double-helical elements and three loops (D, anti-codon, and T loops).
Source: RNAcentral